This 482-nucleotide ribosomal RNA is filed under the name uncultured bacterium. Its description in RNAcentral is "bacterial SSU rRNA". It matches the Rfam family "Bacterial small subunit ribosomal RNA", at positions 903 to 1397 of the family's 1533-position model. The record is from RNAcentral.
AAAUGAAUAGACGGGUCCCCGCACAAGCAGCGGAGCGUGUGGUUUAAUUCGAUGCUACACGAAGAACCUUACCUGGGUUUGACAUAGAGGUAGUAGGGAAGCGAAAGCGGACCGACCCUUCGGGGAGCCUCUACAGGUGUUGCAUGGCUGUCGUCAGCUCGUGUCGUGAGAUGUUCGGUUAAGUCCGCUAACGAGCGCAACCCUCGCUGUGUGUUACAAGUGUCACACGGUACUGCCGAUAUUAAGUCGGAGGAAGGUGGGGAUGACGUCAAGUCAGCAUGACCUUUAUAUCCAGGGCUACACACACGCUACAAUGGCCAGUACAAUGGGUUGCCAAGCCGCGAGGCGGAGCCAAUCCUAAAAAGCUGGCCUCAGUUCAGAUUGCAGUCUGCAACUCGACUGCAUGAAGUUGGAGUUGCUAGUAACCGCAGGUCAGCAAUACUGCGGUGAAUACGUUCCCGGGGAUUGUACACACCGCCCGU